RNAcentral lists this long non-coding RNA (4893 nucleotides) under Phoenix dactylifera (date palm). RNAcentral's name for it is "long non-coding RNA (PDAC_LNC006319)". Lineage: Eukaryota; Viridiplantae; Streptophyta; Magnoliopsida; Arecales; Arecaceae. The record is from RNAcentral.
UGUGUAUAUCUUAUACCUACAUAAUUGAAUUUAUGAAUGUGGUGGUAUGGACUAACCAUGUUAUAUUGGUCGCCCUGUCACGGGCCGGAAAUGUGACCAUGGUUAGUCUAGGUCGGAUAUAAGAUGGAAAAAGGAAUUGAUGUGUGUAUGUGAAUUGGUUAAAUGAGUAGGAACUUUGGGCUUAUCUCGUUAGUAUUGAUUGCCCCAUCAUCGGCUGGAAAUGUGAUAUUAUCGAUUGCCCCGUCACAGGCUGGAAAUGUGAUACUAUCGAUUGCCCCAUCACAGGCUGAAAAUGUGAUACCAUCGAUUACCCCAUCACAGGCUAGAAAUGUGAUACUAUCGAUUGCCCUGUCACGGGCCGGAAACGUGACCAGGAUGUAGCCCAAAGUCGGAAAGAUAAUUGAUCCGGAUCAAGUUAACAUAGAAUGGAAAGAAAAAGCAUCGAAAACAGUAAUGAAGAUUUAUGAGCUAUCAUAUGCUAUAUCAUUCUUGUGUGACUGGACUCUUAUUGAUGUUUGAUAUACAUAAUUAUUGAUUAUUUGAGUCUUUUGGAAACUGCUUAUGAUUUCAUGAAAUGUGCAUCGAUUUGUCGUAGUUUUCAAAUUAAUAUUAUUAUUGUGUUGGUAUGGAUGUGUAGGGAUUCUUACUGAGCUGUAAAGCUCACCCCUCUUCUUCUUUUUUUUUCUUUACCAGAGUUGCAGGAUGCAUAGAUUUGGAUGGGAUGGGCGCAGAGUGCAAGUACCAGAGUUAUUAGUUAGUUAGUUUGUUUAUCCUUCUUCGUUGUUGAUGAACAUUUGAAGAUCUUGUAAUUGAACUAAUUUGUUUAUUUGGACAUAUCGGAUUUGUCUAUUUGAAUUAUCAAUUUCUUGUGGAUUUAUUGGAAUUUUUGUUAAUCAUAGGCCUUACAUGAUCUUUAGGGCACUGCUCUAGGGCGCAUGCAGCCGGUCGCGCACCGGACCCCGGGUGCUGGGUUCGGGGCGUGACAGAGUGGUAUCAGAGCUUAAGAUUAAGGUAUCUUAGGGUUUAUGUUCUGGUGAGUGUGAGUGGGGAAUUAUGAUAGGAAAACUAUCAAAGCCUUGGUUUAUAAUCACUUGAGAUUGUAAUAGGAAUGAUAUUGUAAUCUAAGGUUUAAGACCACUAGGGACUAUGGCCUUAAUGGCAUUAGAGUUUGAGGUUUAAGGUCAUUGGGGAUAGUGACAAAAUUGGAAUCCGAGCAUAUGUUUAAGAUCAUUAGGGAUUGUGAUAGAAAUAUUUCAUAGCUUAAGGUUAUGAUCACUUGGGACAUGACAAUUAAAUUCAGUGCUUAAGGUGUAAGAUUACUUGGCAUUGUGAUAAAAUGUAUGCAUCGGGUUUGGUUUUCGAUGAGUGUAGAAAGAAAGUAUAAAUUGUCAUUGAUAAUGAUAAGAGAGAUUUGACCUAAGAUUAGUGUAGGAAGGUCAAUAUUGGUAUAUCGGUUAUACCAUGUUCAGAUAUUAAUUAAAUGACCUAGAAGUUUAGACUUGAUAUGGGUUUUGAUGUGAUUGUACUUUUGGUUUUUGCUGCUAAUUAUUAGAGUGGGGUUUGUAUGUAGAUCUUUCAUAGUAUUGGAGUGAGCUAAGAAGAUUUCAUAAUAUUGAAAGGAAUGUUCUUCGAAGUUGAAUAUGUAUGUGGAUUAUAUUUGGCAUUGGCAUGUUGGAUAUUGCAAAUAGGUCCAUUUUCUAUUGAUGUAUUUGAUUAUUUUGAGGUCAUAGAAUAUGCAUAUUGAUGGAAAAAUUCUAAUUAUUUGAAUUCUCAUAUUUGGAUUGGGCUACUGGAUUUUACUUAUAAUCGUAGAAGACUAUUUGAUGUGUUAAUUUAAAACUAAAGCCUAGGUUUAAGAUUUGAGCAGGGAUCUUUUGUCAUUGUUGAUGAAGCCACUAAUAAAUGUCAUAUUGAGUAAAAACUUCGGUCAUGAGAUGCUUAUAUGAAUUAUCAUAUAUAGCAUUGCUGAUGGAUGUUAAGAACCUUGGUGAAGAAAGAUUUGAAGAUUGAUAGAGUUAAUUUCUGCUCAUAAUGAUAUUGGCUCAAUGACUUUUAACCCAUUGAAUUUGAAGUAAAUCCUUUUGGAAGGAAGGUCAAUCUAAAUUAUGUAAUUGAAUUGCUAAGGAAUCCAGAGUUAAUUAAAUCUGGAUAUUUUGGAUUUUAAGUUGUGAAGAUCAUGUAGUGACCUUAAACUUGAUUAAUGGCUUGAGGAUUAGUUAUGGUUAGUAUACUCUUCAUAAAUUGAGGACAGAGAGAUUUGGAGGUUCCGCUCAAUUAAAGUUUUAAAAUUUAUUUUUUUUUUACUCCUAGUGCAAAGUGAUAUUUCGGUCAUAAAUCAUUUAGAGGCUUUAGAGUAUUUAAUGGAUUAAAUCAGAGUGCGCAGCAGAAGUGUGGUGGUUUGACUUAUUUUGAAAUAAGUUAAGGACAGUAAUAUUUGAUGUAAAAAGUAUUAUGAUGGAACACUUGAGUUAGUUUCUAGUAGAGGAGAAUGUUGUUGAUUCUAUGGACGAUUUAGAGGUAGCUAUGUAAUUUUCACCAGUGGGUUCUUAUAUUGUUGACAAUUCUUGGAAAAAUCUUGGGUAUCUUACAUUUAGCAUUAGCAGAUUGAUGAUUCCUUGGUUGGGCUUAAACUUGAAAUGUUUUAACAUGGAUCUCCUAUUUAUUAGGAUGAUGUGGGCGAGAGAAAAUUAUUAGGCCCAGAGAUAGUGCAAUAGACCAUAGAUAAGGUGCAAGUGAUCAGAGAACGACUUCGUACAGCUCAGAGUCGUCAAAAGAGUUAUGUUGAUAAUAGGAGAGAACCGAAAUUUUAAAUUGGGGAUCAUGUUUUUUUUAAAGUGUCAGCCACUAAAGGAGUGAUGAGAUUUAGGGUUCGUGGUAAAUCGAGCUCUAAGUAUGUUGGUCCGUUUGAGCAUCCGGAAAUAUGAAAUUCAGACUCAUGUGACAAGCCAAUUUUGGAUAAGGUUGGAGAGGUGGCAUAUCGACUGGCUUUACCACCAGCUUUAUCCAGUGUACACUAUUUUUCAUGUGUCGAUGUUGAAGAAAUAUGUCCCAGACCUGAGUCAUGUGGUAGCAUAUGAGCCAUUACAUCUUCAUGAGGAUUUGACCUAUGUGGAGUUCCUAACACGAAUCGUGGACAGAAAAAAAAUCAGGUGCUUCGGUAUUGAACCAUUCCUUUUAUGAAGAUACAAUAGAACAAUCAUACGGAAAGAGAGGCUACUUGAGAGCUCGAAGAAGAAAUGAAGGUCAAGUAUCCGCAGUUAUUCGAAACCUUAGUAAAUUUCGAGGAUGAAAUUUUUUUUUAGGGGGAGAGAAUGUGAGGACCCACAUUUUUGGGGGGGAGGCCUGUGUCGGCCCGACACAUGAAACGGGAGGGAGACUCCCGAACAGAGUCUUCCCUCCCCUGUCUCAAUUGCUUCCCAAAUCCACCGGAAGAAAAAGGGGAAAAAAAACACAGAGGAAAAGGGAGAUCAAAUCCUACCUAAUUUGCAUCAAUCUCUAUCUAUAAAAGAUCCCUUUCUCCUCAUCCUAGGGCAUCAACCGGGUGCCGUUCAAAAGAAAAAGAAAGAAAAAAAGGGAUCCGUGAGAAACUUGGGUUGUUCGCCGCCGAUCUUGCGGAAGGAACUCGCCGGAGGUAAGGUGAGCAACCUCUCCUCCUUCUUCUUUGUCUUUGGGCCACCGACUCCUUGGAAUCCGGCCGGCAAGCCGCCGGACUGAUGGGGGAAAGCCGAGCCCUGUUCGGCCUUCUUCUCUCUUGUUCCGGCCGGUCGUCGCCGGGCGUGGCACCAUCGGCACCGCCGCAGGCCGACGACCAUGGGGCGUCGCCGGCCGUGGGCCGCCUGCUGCCGAGCACCCUUUUCCCCUUUCCAUCGGGAAGAAGGAAGAAGAGAGAAAGGGAAAGGGUCUUUCCAUUCCCUUCCUCUUAUUAUUUUUUUUUGUUUUUGUCUCUAGUUGGGUGCUCUCUUUACACUUGGAUCCGGGAAGAUCACGGCUUUGAGGACUCUAGAUAGUCUGGGGAUGCUAGAUUUUAGAGGAUCUUUAUAGGAUCAAACAGGGGUUCUAGAUCAUCAUAUAUUUUUGAUAAAUUUUAAUGAUGACUUGGUUCUGUAGGGAAACAAUUUAUUGGACGAUAGGACACUGAGCAGAGUCCUGCGCAUUCCGGUUCAUAGAUCACCGUGAGGGCGGGUGAUUAGUUGUCUGAGUUUUCAACAAAGGGUAAGAAUCCUUGUACGCCAAUCCUGCAUGAUAUAAAUAUUAUUGCAUCAUAUAUAUUUGAUAUGCUAUGAUCCAGACAAAGCAAAAUAGUUUUAUAUUUUAUUAUAUUUUGAUCAUGUUAGUUUGUGAUUGGUAGUAUGAUGGAUGCAUGUAUGUGUAUAUCUUAUACCUACAUAAUUGAAUUUAUGAAUGUGGUGGUAUGGACUAACCAUGUUAUAUUGGUCGCCCUGUCACGGGCCGGAAACGUGACCAUGGUUAGUCUAGGUCAGAUAUAAGAUGGAAAAAGGAAUUGAUGUGUGUAUGUGAAUUGGUUAAAUGAGUAGGGACUUUGGGCUUAUCUCGUUAGUAUUGAUUGCCCCAUCACAGGCUGGAAAUGUGAUAUUAUCGAUUGCCCCGUCACAGGCUGGGGACUUACUUUAGAAGAACAUUACUUGACAAAAUCCUGACUAAAUGCCUUAUGCAAUCUUAGAGAUGAUCAAUGGUACAAAAUAUGUUCUUCAAGUUUUGAUUUGGGGAGUUCUCACGAUACAAACAAGUUUUGCGGCCAAUUUAUUGGCAAUAAGCUGGCAGCUUGGCAGUCAUUAUUAUUUAUUCAAUUGUGAAUGGUAUUCUAAGUCACUGAUUUGACCUUGUGUGCAUAUAUAAGGUGGUAAUUGUUGUGAAAUAUAUUUUUUUGAAACU